AUUGAACGCUGGCGACAUGCCUUACACAUGCAAGUCGAACGGCAGCACGGGUGCUUGCCCCUGGUGGCGAGUGGCGCACGGGUGAGUAAUACAUCGGAACAUGUCCUGUAGUGGGGGAUAGCCCGGCGAAAGCCGGAUUAAUACCGCAUACGAUCUACGGAUGAAAGCGGGGGACCUUCGGGCCUCGCGCUAUAGGGUUGGCCGAUGGCGGAUUAGCUAGUUGGUGGGGUAAAGGCCUACCAAGGCGACGAUCAGUAGCCGGUCUGAGAGGACGACCAGUCACACGGGAACUGAGACACGGCCCAGACUCCUACGGGAGGCAGCAGUGGGGAAUUUUGGACAAUGGGCGAAAGCCUGAUCCAGCAAUGCCGCGUGUGUGAAGAAGGCCUUCGGGUUGUAAAGCACUUUUGUCCGGAAAGAAAUCCUUGGCCCUAAUACGGUCGGGGGAUGACGGUACCGGAAGAAUAAGCACCGGCUAACUACGUG
Molecule: ribosomal RNA, 486 nt
Filed under: uncultured bacterium
Lineage: Bacteria
Description: partial 16S ribosomal RNA
Rfam family: Bacterial small subunit ribosomal RNA
Source: RNAcentral